RNAcentral lists this long non-coding RNA (1414 nucleotides) under Homo sapiens (human). Its description in RNAcentral is "long non-coding RNA NONHSAT210078.1". The record is from RNAcentral. Lineage: Eukaryota; Metazoa; Chordata; Mammalia; Primates; Hominidae.
AGAACUUCUCCACCGACCCCGUCACCUGGAUUGGAUCACCGACCUCUCCCAAGAGGGGCCUGGCUUCCUCCUCGCUGGGGAAACGGUAGGGAGCUCCCCUAGGUAAAGCCUCUAGGGAGAGUGGCCAGGAGCCGGGUCAGGAAAGGCUCUGGUGCCCAAAGGGCUGCCCGCAGAGGCUGAGGUCCCUGCAAGUGCACAGGGAGGAGAGGUGAGAUCAGAUUCCAGCCGAGUCAGGCUUCCAUGUCAGACUGCGUGUGUUUAUGCAGAGGUGCAACUCAGGAAUUACUGAGGAGAAAGUACAGGGCCAAUUUAACCUCCUCUGAGAGACCUCUAACCCUGCUCAUCACCACUCCUCGCUAAAAAGGGCCCUCUCCAGGGAAGAACCCAGAGGGAGAGCGGGAAUUCUCCUCCCCUUGGAGGAAGAGUGCUUCCUCUACCCUUAAUGUAUCAACUGACAACAAUUCAAACAGAAGGAAACUAGGAUGUGACAAAUAAAGGAAGCCUUUUCAUGCUCUAUGUCCACUGGCGUCGGGCAAGCCCCGGUGGAAGUCCAAGGAAAAGAGUCUAAGACCCAAACAGAUGGUUUGCGCCAAAGUUCUGAAGUGUAUCAGACGUGAAUAAAGGUCUUCGAUUCCCUGCCCCCUGCCCGAGGACCUGCCUCCUCCCUGCCCGAGGACCAAGCUUCAGAAGAACUGCACAUGGGAGGAAAUACCAACCGCUUAACUUCUUCAGAGACAACCUCUAACCCGGCUCACCACCACGCUAGCUAAAAAAGGGCCCUCUCCCAGGGAAGAUCCCGGAGGAAGAGUGGGAAUUCACCCUCCCCUUGGGGGAGGAGUGCUUUCUCUACCCUUAAUUUAUGAACUGAGAAAAAUCCUAACAAGCCUACUAUGAAAUAAAGAUGCCCUUAACCCGGUCUUAGGUCUAGUGGAAGCUGCUUCGGAGCCAUGGAGAAAAGGCAGCCUGCGCUGAUUGACCAUGAGCCUAAGUACACUGCAUGAACCUUUGGAAGUACCUCUUCUAUGUCUGCCUGAAGUAAGAUAAAGUUGAAAUUUUGGGGUAAAUACUUUGCAUAAUGGCGAACCUGUGAUAGUUUCACAUGGUGAGAGUUUAUAGGGCUCUCAGGGAGUGUGGACUCAUGAGACUAGUGUGACAUCUUUACCAGGGAAGCUACGCCAGAUGCUUUGGAUGGCUUUAGCUCUGUGGUGCCACUGGAUGCCUCAAGGUUCUGAGCAGGCAGAAGGCUUCUUUCAGAGCUCUUCAGUGACAACUCCAGCAAAACUAGAACAAUGAAUUCAUUCUUUACAUUGGGAGCCAGCAUAAUUAUGCUUAUUUAUAUGUUUGCUUUCUCUACCAUACAGUCCAUAAAUCUCCAACCAGUAAAACUCCAAGUAAAUUCUGAGAAAAAUUAAAC